GACGAACGCUGGCGGCGUGCCUAAUACAUGCAAGUUGAGCGCUGAAGGUUGGUACUUGUACCAACUGGAUGAGCAGCGAACGGGUGAGUAACGCGUGGGGAAUCUGCCUUUGAGCGGGGGACAACAUUUGGAAACGAAUGCUAAUACCGCAUAAAAACUUUAAACACAAGUUUUAAGUUUGAAAGAUGCAAUUGCAUCACUCAAAGAUGAUCCCGCGUUGUAUUAGCUAGUUGGUGAGGUAAAGGCUCACCAAGGCGAUGAUACAUAGCCGACCUGGGAGGGUGAUCGGCCAAAAUGGGACUGAGACACGGCCCAAACUCCUACGGGAGGCAGCAGGAGGGAAUCUUCGGCAAUGGACGAAAGUCUGACCGAGCAACGCCGCGUGAGUGAAGAAGGGUUUCGGAUCGUAAAACUCUGUUGGUAGAGAAGAACGUUGGUGAGAGUGGAAAGCUCAUCAAGUGACGGUAACUACCCAGAAAGGGACGGCUAACUACGUG
Molecule: ribosomal RNA, 497 nt
Filed under: uncultured bacterium
Lineage: Bacteria
Description: partial 16S ribosomal RNA
Rfam family: Bacterial small subunit ribosomal RNA
Source: RNAcentral